AAAGCUUAAGAUAUCAUAUUAUUAACAAUAUAUUGUUAAAUUUUUUAAACUAGAUUUUUUCUGGAAAAAUCAAAUAUAUCAAAAUUUGGUUUUUUCGAUAAAAUUGUUCUACAACAUUCCGUUUUAUCCCCAUAUUGAAGUGUUACAAAAUUGAUUGAAUGGUUCAAAACUGAAGCGAGAAAAUAUUCAAUGCAUCAAUUAUUAACUGUUUGCCAUUCGAUGUAUUCGUUGUAAACGUUCAAAAAAGAAUUUGCCUCGAAAUCUGAAAAAAAAAAAUCGAAUCUCUUCUUUUUCCAUCCAUUUAUUUUUUAUCUUUGUUUGCAUGAUUCAUAUUAAAAUAAAUUGCAUCCUAUUAUUACGAGUUAUGUAAUAUUUUCAUAGAUUACGAAGAAUUUAUCUUGCCUUGCAAGCAGUCAAUCGAAGAGAACCAAGUUUAAAUAAAUCGUAUACUCGAUACAAUGCAAUAGCAUACAAUUUUGAACAUACAAAGUAUCAUUUUAAUGAUGCAUAAAUUUUCAAAAUGAAUCGUAUUAAUAUUUUUUUAAUCAAAAUUUAUGAAUCGAGUAUCAAAUAUUCACGUAUAACAUUAAUUAAACAUUUCGCAUUGUUCUUCCAUUCUUGCCUCAAUAAAAUCAGGAAAUAAAAUCGCUCAUUUUUUUUUUUUCUCGAAAUAUUUUAUAAAACGAAAUGUUUUAAAUGCACUCCCACUUCUCUCUCUCUUUCUCUCUCUUCAACAAUUCUAUCUCCACGAACAGCUGUCCAUCAUUUAAAGUGGCAUUAACAAAAUCAACGAAUAAUAUAUUACAUCCCAACAUUAUUAAACAAUUUAUAGCAGUUUUAUUCCUGACAAUUUCGACAAGCAGCGAGUAAGUUACUAUAGGCAUAAAUCAACCCCUUAAACAUUCGACCAUGAAAUUUUGUAAGCCGUGCCAGAGUCAACGUGUGUCAAAACCUUCUGGGAAAUAUGUAUAUAUAUAUAUGUACAUAUAAAGGCGAAACUAAAAUAGCAGAACUUUGAACCAAGUUUAUGCAAUAUUUUUCAUCACGAAGCGGUUUUCGCCCAAAAUGGAGUCAACCAAGGUAGAAUUUGCAGGUGUCCAGCAAAUUGUGUUCAUAAAAGUAAUAUAGGAUUUCAUGUUUACGAUGGCAAAUUUGUCAAGUAUUCCAAAAAAAUGGAAACGUUUGUUCUUCCUACUUUGGCUACUUUUAAAUUUAAAUUUUUUUUGUGAUAAACUAAUAUUAGAUUGUUUGAAACGUUUCAUAGGAAAAUUUAAUAAAAAUUUCGAAAUUAUAUUAUAUAUUUGCUAUUUUUAGCGAUAUAUAUAUAUAUAUAUAUUCAAGUGAAAAGUUUCUCUGAGGAUCUCUGAAAUAUUAAAUUUCUCGUUACAAGCUUUUUUAAAUAAAUGUAUUUUUUUUUUCUUAAGACUUAUCUUGUCCAAAGACAUCUUUUCUUUGUCCAAAGACAAUAAUUCAAUGAUUUCCUUUAUCUUAUAAAAAUAAUACUUUUUGCAAUCAUAUUUUGCAAUUCCCUCCAAACAAACAUAGAUAAUUUACAAAAAAAUUAAAUUGAUCGUCACAAACGUCUACGAAACGUUUCAAAUAACCUAAACCAUCACUCUGUUGUGAAUAAAAUUAUUUUUGCCAACAAUAUCUAUGAACGUGAUUCUGCUAUAUUAAUUUCUAAACGGAGUAACGAAUAUAUCAUCAGUAAUAUCUGUUCACCAACCACACUUUAUAGCAAUCAACGGUGAAAUAUUGCGACCAACCUGUCACCCAACGACACCCGAUAAAAAAUAUUAUCUCCCAUUAAUCAACCAUUCAUCAUUCUUACACGUUAUCGAAGAAGAAAAAUUUAUUCCUGAAUAUGGUCGAAGAAAACUUACUCUUUAUAUAUAAUAACGUGUAUCAUCAUAAUCGUCGUAUCGACGAGUUUGCACCGUCUAAUUACUAUACACUCGUCGAGGACAUCGGUUUGCUCUUGUGCAAAAUGUAAAAUAUGUAUAUAUAUAUAUAUAAUACGUGUACACACCUUAUUAUAUUCUAACUUAAUAACGCGUAUGUAUGUACAGAUAAUAAAUCUACCAGCAGUAAGGAACCACUUCAUUUGUUAUAUAGAAAUAGAAAUUUUCUCGCACACGAGAGGUGUGAGACACGUUUAAAAAUAAUGAGAAGUACAUAAUGCGGAUACUUCACACCGUGACGGUGGGAAACACUUGGUGAAUCGGAAGGGGUUGGAAACGCAUCAUCAAUCCUUCGUUUCAAGUACGAAAAUUUCCACGUCGAUCGUACGUGAAAACACGCCACGAAAGAUGGUGUCGUUAACGAGACAGGGACUAUAAAUAAAACUUUCGAGCCGAUCGAAAUGUUAAAAUACACUUGGACAGAUUCAGCUGUAAUCUUCGAUGAGUUAGAGCGCAAGGUGGCCAACGCAGUUCACGAAUUUUUUUCACGGAUUAUUGACGGACAUUGUCUCUAAUUACAUCUCUUAAUUACCUGUUAAAUAUUGCGAGAAAAUGUUUCGUUUUUAUUUUUAUACGAUUCGUAUAUUGAUUAAAGUGAUUAAUAAAUCAAAUUAAGAUUAUUUUUUCUUUAAAUGCUGACAGAUAUAGACAGUACAGUCGGAUUUUCUAUUUAUAUUCGUAAUUAAUUAUUUUGAUAUUAUCAUGAGUCGUGGGUUCAAAGAUCUGAGGUCAAAGUUCAAAUGUAGAUGAAGAAGAAAAGAGAAACAAUGAUAGAGGAAAGAUAUUAAGCAAAUUCUUGGAAUUGUUCAUAAUUUUGAUUUUGAAAAAAAUGUGUGUGUAACAUUGAUUGAAUUGAAGAAAGGGAAAAAUAGAUAAAUUGAUCUAUGAAUUUCGAUUCGUAAUUUUAGCUAAUUGGAAUUAAUAAAAUCGAAUUAAUUACAGAUAGGAAACGGCAUAAAAUUUUUCUCUGCGUCCUUUUCAAAUUAUGCCUCGUCUCAUAAAUCGUCGCCGUGAUGACAAGUUGCACACUUGAAUGAAAAGGAAUCCGCCGUUUCGUUGCGAUUAUACACUCGUUGCGAAAUUCAUUUCCUUUGUAACCAAGUGGAAGAAUUGGUACAAGUCGGGGCAGAACAUUGCGUGGCCUUGGGGCGUUGUAUUUUCAGGACUCAACCUAGUUGAGUAUAAUUUCCCUUUUUGCGUUACGGCGGUAAACACGUGACAAACCGUUGAAAUUGCAAGGAAAUUUAAUUUGUCAUCUUCGAAUAAAAAUCCGAAUAAAAUUCGAAGAAUUAAAAAAUUAUACGAAAAAUAUCGAAAGAAAUCAUUUCUUGGGCAGAGAAUCGAACAGACGAACGUUAAUAAAAGACUUAAAGUAAAAAUUCUUAACAUCUUUUCAUUGUUCGAUCGAGGAGGACGAUUAUCUUUUAAUGUCUAAUAAAUGUCAUACAUAGAAAACGUGACUCAAAAGUUUAUUGAACACGUUUAUAAAACGUUUAUUUUCUCUCUUUAUUAUCGAGAGGAAGGGCUAUCGAUGAAAGUAUCUUCAUUUCUUAAGGAAAAAAAAAAAAAGAAGAAGAAGAAAUAAUUCCAUCAGCUCCGUCGAUAAAUAUUUUCUCGUCCACACGCGCGCGUAUUAAAUUUUCUUCUCCUUCGAUACGAUUUAAUUCGAUUCAAGAUGUACGUGAAUCAUCGUAUACAAAUAUUAUGCAAAAAACCUAGAGAAGAUAAUGCAAAUUCGCGCGAUAACACGGUGGGGAAGUGGGGAGAGCCAUCUGACGCCCAUCAAACAGAUAACAGGCGUAACCUUCCAAUCUCUUCAACCUCUUCGAGCUUGACUUCCGUUUUUUCAUUUUACGAUCAUCGCGGAAAUCGAGAACCGCUCGUUAUCAAAUUAAAUCGGCGGACGUAAUAAAUCACGUGUUCCUCGUGGAGAAUAAAAUAUACGUGUCGCGAUAAAUUAUUAGUCAAGCGUCCCAAGUUUCCACUCCUCGAGCCAUCUACCUGGCUCGCAACGUCGUACAACAUUACACUUCUCGUGUAGAAACCCGAUACCCUCCGCUUUCCAGUGCAAUGAUACACUGUGCGAUCCGCGAACGUUUUAUAACAGAGUCAGCGUAAUGAAACGACAGCGGUAACAGACAGAAAAUACAGACGCUUUGAUCAUUUACUGCCUUUCUUAACGCGUUGUCUAAAAUUUUUAUUUUUAUCAACGUGAGUUGAUGGAAUUCCACGCACCUUUAUUUAUUCCUACUCAAAGAUAGUGAAGAAAAUGAGAAAAACAUGAGAUCCCUCGAAUAUUUUGAAAAUUUUAAACAGGAUAUAUUAUAAUUAAAGAUCAAUCUUUCGAUUUAAGUUCAUUAUUGCUUAACUUCAUUAUUUAGAAAAGAUAAUUAACGCAUCAAUCGACAAAGUAUUCAACAUUAUUCAAUACUCUUAAAAUAUCGAUAUAUUUGAAAUAUUUUUAGAAACGACGUUUAUCUCGAAAUUGCUCUAUAAAUAAUCGUACUUACUUGCAUACAAACGUUUGCCUGAACAGAACCAUUUCUUACUACUGUUCUCUUUUCGGGAAUUGGAUACCAAUUCGAUAAAUUUCUUCUCGAAUAACAUAGAGGAACUAUCGAUCGAAAAACCAAUUUUCUUAAGGAUUAAUCUCUAUUUUUAUCCUAAAUAAUUUAAAGAUAAAAAUAACCACCAGUCUCUAAACAGAAAUCAUCGUGAAUAAUUGCUUAUAGUUUAGAAUUCGAUUCCACUUUAUUAUAUGCAUAACCAAAAACACACGAGGUAACGAGUUUAUAAUCAUUUCUUUCGUGACACGAAGACACGAAGAGCCACUUGCCCAAUUCUGUAAAUGCUUCUUUGUGCUUUUAGAGCAUCGUUGGACGAUGUAUCGUUGCGGUAACAUUAUAAUUGUUCGUGCACACCGGGAGUGGAGUACGAAUUUAGACGCAGCAACAAUCUAUAGAUGAGCCAAGGUCGUGCCGUUGGCUUUUUCACACAGAGCCACUCCUCUCGGCCGCCAUUCUAUUUCGAGGAUUUUCUAAAAUUUAUCGUCCAGCACCGCGCGCAGUCAUCAUUAUACCCGCUCUAAUACACUGGCGCCAUCAAUUUGAAGCUGUGGCACAAUGUUUGUACAUGUGUAUAUAUAUAUAUAUAUAUAUAUAUGUGUGUGUAUACAUAUAUACACAUUCUCGGAUCGACCACGGUUGCAACAUUAAACGGUGUAAAUUUGUCCACUAUAUAAGAAUGUACCAAGCAAUUUGCGAUCGUUCGAACAAGUGCCAAUAACAGAGCUUUAAUAAACGUGCGUGAUAUUUCAUCCUACGUUUCAUUUUUACAGGUAAUUCUCCGAGAAAGGAAAUUUAUUUUGCCAUUUGCUCUUGAGGAAUUUUUUCGAUGGGAAAAUCGAUCUGAAAAUAUCUCUCGCGAUUGAAGAUAUUUAUAAGAAGUGAAGAAUGUUUUUCAUUUGUCUUAAAAAGGGAAAAAAUGUUUCUUCAGCAUUGCGGAUAGUUUUUCAUCGCAUAAUAUCAGGACGAAUGCCAGAAUUUUCACAUACGUUAAAAAAGAACUGCAAUGGCGGUGAAACGUUAAAAAACUUCCAACGCUCUUCUUUGGACACGACGAAAGAUCUCAUCUCAGAAUUAAUUUACGAUGGUCAAUUUUGAAUCAAGGUAUCCUGAUGUUCAAUCAUAAUCCCAAUAUAGACCACGAAAAGUCAAGAUUUAGCAUCCGGUAUCAAUGACAACCGCAAUGUUAUAACGAUAUUAGCACGAUUAUUAUUGAUCAUUCAUAAAUCACACGAAUGGAUAUUCAGCAUAAAAAAGUAAAUUGGAUGUGUGACACGGUGGAAGGACUGUUUCGUCCCUGCCCUGACACCUGAGAUUCUCCACUCACUGUGAUAAUGAGAUUUUUGUUACAAGCAACAGCUCAUAUGCCACUGAUAGACCAAAGGUAAUGAUUAUAAUUACAUUCUAUGAAUUUUUGUAUCUUUUUACAUAUACGAUUACAAUUACAAUAGUACCCGCUUUAUUCAGAACCACGUACGGAUGUUUUAUCUGAAGAAGAUUUCUAAAAAUUUGAUUGAAGAGGGGAAAGAAAAAAUAGAUACGAGAGAAUAAUGGAUUCAAAUACGUGAUAUAAACAUAAUAUUCUUUGAGAAGAAACUUCUCAAGUUUCCAGAAUUAAUGGCAAGCUCUAAAGUGAGUACUAUUGAAUAACUCGUAUAAUAACAGUAGUACUCGAUAAAAUUAAGAUAUGUUAAUGUAAGAAUUCCCUAAAGCUAAGUAACAAUGAGAAUGUCGAGAUGAAGAAAAAUGAAUUCAUCUAUUGAGAAAUAUUAUUAAACCGCGUUAUUAAACCGAAACCAUUUAUCAAGAUCAUCGUUUUCUUUUCAAAUAAAGAUCCGAGGAAAAUCCAGAUGAAAAAUCAACAAUGAUUAGUUUCGACAGCCUUAAAAUUACAUUCAUAUUAUAAACGAUAGUUUCUUCUUGAGAACGAGAUUUUCACUUUGGGAAAUUUAAAAAAAAAAAAUUACUAAAAAAAUUAAAAGAAAAUUACUAAGAAUCUAAUAUAUAUCCAAUGAAUUAUACUCAAGUAAAAUUCUUUCUUAUGAUACAAAGAUAGAUCUAGUAUCUUUAAAUUUAGGAUUCAAUAAAUAGUUUUUCAAAAGAGUUAUUGCUCAAAUUAAAAAAUCCAUAUUUGUGAUAUACAAUCUGUUAUAAUAUAAAACAUUUUUUAUUAUAUGUAUGGACUUUUUAGAAGUUUUUCGUGAAUAUAACCAAUCGAAGAGCUUCAAGAUUUAUGCUAUAAGAAUUAAUCAAUCUUUAAGUCUCAAGAUUAAAGAGAAAAUUUUAUUAUCUUAAUUAUUAAUUAUCCUGAAUUUUUCUCGUGUUGUCUCGUUUGAUCUAAAAAUAAUAAUCAUUUUACAUAAUGCGUGCACUAAUUACAAACGCCAAAAUUGGAAUCAAUGCAAAGGAUGCAAAAAAAAUACAAAGGAAAUUGAGCAUCUCGGGGUUAAUCAAAGUCCUUCUCCUAAAUUAAAACACCUUGACCUCAUAAACGAGAUCUCCAUCAGAUUUCUCCCAACGCCUAAAGAAAAACUGAUCGAAACUGAGGGAAAUCUAUAUCGAAUUGAUAUCAAAUUGAGAAAUUAGAAUAUUCUGUACAUAUAAAUCGAGUCCUAACUUAAACAAUUAUCGUUUUUCUUUUUAAAAUUAGAUUGAUUGUAACGUUGACACGUAAAUCAACGAAAAAUCUUGUUGAAACAAAAUUGCACGAACGAAUUCGUAGUACGAAUUUCAAUGUGAAUCAUAAAUACGUGCGCCAUGGUGUGAAGUACAGCUUUCGAGAUGGGUCUCGAUGAAUCAUUUUCAUUUGCAUUGAGCAACAUGUCCUCGAAACAUUUAAGUACAUCGAACUAACAGCCAUGUGCGGGAAUAUGAUUACCAGACAUUCAUGAUUUCGUUCGUUAACCUAUUACAAAGUUUCCGAUCGAACAACCUUCGAUCAUUUUAUAUCUGAGAAAGCUCGUGUAACGAAAUUCAUUGCUCGAAUCAUUGAACCGUCGGAUGGUUGGAAACUUGAGUCAUUUUUCACAUUGAACGAUGGAUAUAUAUAUAUAUAUGCACGAUUAUCCUUGGACAUAUUUUAACCCCUUAAUUACAAUGCUUCGUUAAGAAUAUAAUAAAGACACGUGGUAUUAUAAUUAAUUAAUUAUUUUCGUCAUUGUAAUUUCUAUGGAUUCGAAAAUUACGAUAUUUUUAGAUUGCAGAUUUUUAGUGAAGCUAAAAAUAAAUUUGGAUAUUCAAUUAAUAUAUAUAUAUAUACGUAGAAAAUAUAUCGUGUUGUUCAA
Apis laboriosa (Himalayan honeybee) is the source of this 7809-nucleotide long non-coding RNA. RefSeq lists it as uncharacterized. Lineage: Eukaryota; Metazoa; Arthropoda; Insecta; Hymenoptera; Apidae. The record is from RefSeq and is a predicted model, not a curated record. The transcript has 4 exons.